AGUUAGCAACUUUUUGAUGGAGCGAGCACUUUGGCAAUGAAAAUGAUAUUGAAUAGUUUACCCACCUUUAGACUGUCAAGAUGACAUCUAGAAACUAAGCAUAACUCAUCCUUUAAUUUACAAUAGAAAUCCACAUAAGUAUUCAGCUUUGUUUUGGUAGAAAAACUUUGGUCUCCAUCAUCACUACUAUGAAGAGGGGUUUUAUUAUUGGUUCUCACAUGGG
RNAcentral lists this long non-coding RNA (223 nucleotides) under Panax ginseng (ginseng). Its description in RNAcentral is "long non-coding RNA (PGIN_LNC004112)". The record is from RNAcentral. Lineage: Eukaryota; Viridiplantae; Streptophyta; Magnoliopsida; Apiales; Araliaceae.